This 113-nucleotide ribosomal RNA is filed under the name Periophthalmus magnuspinnatus. The record is from RNAcentral. Lineage: Eukaryota; Metazoa; Chordata; Actinopteri; Gobiiformes; Gobiidae.
GGAGGCUAAUAUACCACCCUGAAAAUGUCCCAUCUUGUCUGAUUUCGCUGAGCAGGGUUGGGCCUAGUUAGUACCUGGAUGGGAGACCACUGGGAAUGCAAGUAUAAACACUU